GAAGAGGGGAUAUUGGCCCUUUGGCCAGGAGAUAUACAACCACUUCCUGUUGUGUCACACUUGCCUGCAGUAACAUGCUGUAAGGUUUGUGGCAUAGGAGCAGUGGGCCAUACCAUAUAGUCAAGGUGUCACAUCCCGGUGGCUGGACAUGCCCUCUUGGGCUUGGCAGAUGCCAGUGGAUCCAUACAACUGCUCCGCCUGGUGGAAUCUGAGAAGAGCCACGUGCUGGAGCCAUUGUCCAGCCUUGCCCUGGAGGAGCAGUGUCUGGCUUUGUCCCUCGAUUGGUCCACUGGGAAAACUGGAAGGGCGGGGGACCAGCCCUUGAAGAUCAUCAGCAGUGACUCCACAGGGCAGCUCCACCUCCUGAUGGUGAAUGAGACGAGGCCCAGGCUGCAGAAAGUGGCCUCAUGGCAGGCACAUCAAUUCGAGGCCUGGAUUGCUGCUUUCAAUUACUGGCAUACAGAAAUUGUGUAUUCAGG
RNAcentral lists this small RNA (479 nucleotides) under Pan troglodytes (chimpanzee). RNAcentral's name for it is "processed transcript". The record is from RNAcentral. Lineage: Eukaryota; Metazoa; Chordata; Mammalia; Primates; Hominidae.